Molecule: long non-coding RNA, 1244 nt
Filed under: Taeniopygia guttata (zebra finch)
Lineage: Eukaryota; Metazoa; Chordata; Aves; Passeriformes; Estrildidae
Description: lncRNA (ENSTGUG00000026375.1)
Source: RNAcentral
ACUUAUUUAUUUGAUUUCAGUAUCUAAUCACAAAAUAAUUACCUAACCCAGCCCCAAGGUAUCUUGGCAAUGUUGUUCCAGACACACUCCAGCACAGACAAAAGAUCCCGCGGGAAGACAUCAAUCAUCUUCCCAUACAAAUGAAACUGGUCCACAGAAAUGAACGGCGCGGCCCCACCCCAGCUCUUUCAAAAUUCAGCUGUCUCAGCCAGAGCUGCAGGCCAGCUCCCAGACACAUCCCUGCCCACUGCUUUGCACAGGAGCUAGGUCAAACCUCAAGUGCAAGGAUUACAUAUGGCAGCAUGACCCAAUUCAUUCAGGCUCUGCUGGACAAAAUCUAUAAAGUGGGAAGUUUAUUGGCAGUGUCUCACUAGUUCUCUCUAAUUUGCCAAAGAGGCUGCUGGGCAGGAAACUCUGUUAACCUCAAUCAUGGUUGGGACAGAUUAAAAGGAGCUGGACUCAAACACAGGCAGGUCUCCAGCCACCUUCUUAAUAAAGAAAAAAAACCCCACAGCACUAAUUGGAGCAAUUGGAUGGGGUGGGAACUUUGGCCAGAGCCUGGGGGCGGAGGCUGGACAGGAUGGGAUGGACAGUGCUCAUGGCAGGGAGGGAGGGAGGGAUGUCACUGCACUCCUGGUCCCACUCACACACUGCACUCUCUGCACAGCCCACGUGUCCCAGCACCUCUGCCCACCCUCCCUCUCAUUUCUGCACACAGCACUGCCUCUGCCCACGCUGCCAGCUCACGGGGGACACACGGUGACACUGGUGGCUGCUGGGACCUCAGCCCUGUGCUGCCCAGCUUCAUGAGGACACACAGGGCAAUCCAGGUUUGGCUGCCACAGGCCAGGUGUACCAAACCAGAAGCACUGCAGGCAGAAACCUGCCUGAAGGUUCCCACCUACCCUUCUGCUCUUAGACAACAGCACAACACAUCCUGUUCUCCCAUUGUCACCUCCUGUAAACACCAAAGCAUAGCUAAUCCCACCUGAGAAAGGGUGGAAAUCUCCUCUUAAACAUAUAUUUUUAUCCCAAGUGAAUAAUUUCCAAACAGCACAAAAGCAGUGUUUUGUCCAACCCUUGCACAUCCCAGCUGUGGUAGGAUUUUCAUCCUGGGGGAAAUGGCUUGUCCAGCCUCGGCCAGUUUGUGAAUGGGCUCAGGUACCAGGCAGGUAGCUGAUAUCCCUGUUGGAAGAAAUUUUUAAAAAUUGUCCUAACAGAGAACCAUCUUCCCCCAUUGCAUU